Molecule: transfer RNA, 53 nt
Filed under: Trichuris ovis
Lineage: Eukaryota; Metazoa; Nematoda; Enoplea; Trichinellida; Trichuridae
Description: tRNA-Ser
Source: RNAcentral
UAGACUGACAUUAAAGUUUGAAACUUUUUUUAUCGUUGGCAACGACAGUCUAG